CUAAAGAGGUGAUAUUUGAGUGAUGAGGAGUCAGCCUUGUGAGCUGCUCGAGAAGAGUAUUCUUGCAGAGAAAAUUGAACCAUGACCUGCCUCUCCCUUCCCCUCCCACUUCAGCCAUGUGAUCAAUUUCCCAAGUGCCUCUUCCAUCUUGAAGGGUGUGUCUACUCUUGUCUCUCCUAGUUGGCCUGAUUCCACCAAUGAAGAAAGCUCUGGCAUUAGCAGAUGUCAGUAAAGACUAUCAGAGAUUGAUGUUAUGCGCCUUGGGAUUGAAUCUUUGAAAUUCGCCAGUCCCCUUCUUUUGGAAAUCUGGACAACAUUUAUAUUUGAGGACUGUCUGCAAUUUAAAUGUGCACAGAAUGAGACUCAGAAAGGUGGAGACUCCCAGUAAAGGAUGACAGAGGGCACAGAAGCCACCAGCAGAUUCUUUGGAAGGAAGUAACAGGAGUGGAACUUCAUUUUCCCAUGGAUUGUAAAGGGUCUUAAGAAAAAAACUAAUUGAGCUCUCCCUGAGGAAGAAGAAAUUCCAGUCUGGCAGCAGACUGGCUUCAGACUUCAGCUGCAACAUCAGCUCUUCCUUGGAUUUCCAGCCUACCUAACUACUCUGCAGAUUUUGAACUUGCCAGCCUCCACAAUCAUGCUGGGCUCCCUUCCACCUCUUCUCACUGGCCUCCUGUUUGUACCCCUGACCUCUCCGGGAUCUGGAUCCCAACACUGUCUUCUGCAAUGAAAACCCUGAUUUUCUAUAUCUGGACAAAAGACUAGGACAUAACGAGAAUUUUAGCGGAAGGAACUGAGGGAGAGAGAUUGCACAGCAGACAAGGACAAAUAAAGGGAAGGUGGAAACAAGGGU
Molecule: long non-coding RNA, 850 nt
Filed under: Homo sapiens (human)
Lineage: Eukaryota; Metazoa; Chordata; Mammalia; Primates; Hominidae
Description: HSALNT0145903
Source: RNAcentral